UGUUGGAUAUUGGUUAAAUAAAUCGAGAAUUGAAAAUCGAUUAAAGUGAUUUCGUAUCGACUUCGACCAAAUACUCAAAAGCUCGACUCAAUCCGUUUAAACAAAAUUGUUUGCCACUUCGCCGCUUCGGGGCGCACAAACGGGGAUCGACCUGCCCGGUCAGGUCGCGAGGGUCGAGAGGGCAGCGCCCCUCGUGGGGGGUCGGGGGCAACGCCCCCGAAAGAGAAUUUUGAUUUCUCUGCAUGUAUUGAAGGGUAUAUUUGGCAUUUCGAAAACCAAUAUCGGAUGAAUGAGAAAUUACAAAAAAAGGACGAAAAUCAGUGAAUAGACACCUUUUCAUAAAGGUGGUGCAUUGUUUGGAAAGGGUGCAUGAUUUGGCC
RNAcentral lists this long non-coding RNA (380 nucleotides) under Olea europaea (common olive). RNAcentral's name for it is "long non-coding RNA (OEUR_LNC006986)". Lineage: Eukaryota; Viridiplantae; Streptophyta; Magnoliopsida; Lamiales; Oleaceae. The record is from RNAcentral.